Pungitius pungitius (ninespine stickleback) is the source of this 419-nucleotide long non-coding RNA. RefSeq lists it as uncharacterized. Lineage: Eukaryota; Metazoa; Chordata; Actinopteri; Perciformes; Gasterosteidae. The record is from RefSeq and is a predicted model, not a curated record. The transcript is spliced from 3 exons.
GGGGGGGGGGGGGGGACAGCAGACAGCCGAGGAGGAGGAGUCAUCUGAGGACAGAAGAGGGAGCUAAUGCGGCUAACGGCCCUGCAGAGGACGAGAGAGGAAGAGAGAGACGGACAUCAUUCACAGACACACUGCAAGAGGACCUGCUCCUUUGGGUUGUGGACUGUCUCCACAGUGUUAGAAGCUGCUUCUUCAAAAUGUCGACCACAUUCCUCACAACCGAAGAACGUGGAGAUGUAACGACGCAUCACCUGCAGCACCGGGGACGCUUUGGCCUCCAGACCUGCAGACAGGGCAGUGGGCGUGGCCUCAUGCUGGAUGGUCAGGACGUGGAACAGAGUCCAUAGAGAGCACGGGUAACCUCUAAGCCCCGCCCUGCUGCCCUGGCAACCAACCCAGCGCAGCUCUGCACCGAGGAA